Molecule: long non-coding RNA, 1359 nt
Filed under: Fragaria vesca (wild strawberry)
Lineage: Eukaryota; Viridiplantae; Streptophyta; Magnoliopsida; Rosales; Rosaceae
Description: long non-coding RNA (FVES_LNC004408)
Source: RNAcentral
AUGUCCUUGUAAAUUCUUCAUACUCUCUUCCAUUUGUUUCAAUGCAUCUAUAUACCUAUGAAUCAAACAAGCAAAAGUGAAUUCAACAAUGGAUGCCAUGGUAAUAUUUUCACACAUCACACUUAAUGCAUGAGAAAAUAAUCCACCAAUUUAACACAUGCAUAUAUGCAUACAUGCUACUAGAAUAAGAAGAACAUGUGUUGCAAUUAUUCAUCUAAUUAAAGGGAAAAAGACUCAUGUUAAAACAAAGACUCAAUUUACUAUAUGAAAAUAAGUAAAUUGCUUCCAUAACUUUAACAUUUUAUUUAUUUAGACAAAACAUCUAUAAGAACACAAAAACAAACUAAAUAACUCAAACUAAUUAAAGACAAAUAACUAACACAUAUAAAUUAGGGAUAAUAAUAUGAUAUAAAAUGUGCUCAUCACCUACUAUGUUCCUAUCAUCAACAUAGAUAACUAUAAUUGCAAAUCCGGAACUCUUUCCUCUAUGAGUACGCAAGGGCAUAGUUCAUAAUUUUGUAUCCCUUUCCACUCAAGUAGUCACUUGUAUAAAGUGAGCGUUUCAAUUCUAAUUACAAACGCACUCUGUGGUUUAGAGUUACUUGAGUUGGAUAGUUUAAGGCCAUUGGGCACUUUUAUGGAUAUCUCCCAAUCAAGAUCCCCAUAGAGAUAAGUAGUAACCACAUAGAUGAGCUGCAUUUCCAUUAUGGGAGAUUAUUUCUCCUCGUUGUCAAUCCAGAGCGUUGCGAGAAACCUUGGCGCCACAAGGCGAGCCUCUUUCUGUAGGGCUUCAUUCUUCUCAUUACGCUUUAUGACAAAGACUUUUUUAUGUCCUACAGGCUUUACACUUGGUAAGGUUAGCACUACCAAACCAAAUACCUGUCUCUUUGUCAAAGAAUCUAGUUCUUCCUAGAUCGCACUUUUAUGUAGGCCAAUAUGCUCUUUGUUAACAUUUUUCAACAGAGCGUGGUUCGAUACCUUCAUGCUCUAUGAUUCCUUGAGCAACAGUGUGAAUCAUCAAUGUGUAUAUACUCUCGUAAUCUGUUGAGAUUUUGUCUCUGGAAUCAUUUUAAACAUCGGAGCGUCCUCCAGUAUUGAUUCAUGGACAUAAUUGUAAUCAAAGACAAUCUCAUGAGAGAGAUUCUUUACAUUGAUGAGGUUGUGCCUUACUUACCCAAUUCCUUUAGGCAAGUAUUGAUCGAACCAAGUGGCCUCCCCCUAUUCCCUUAGAGAGCCACGGCCUUAACCACACCUCCACUAAGUGUGGUUGCAUAGCCUCUAUCUGCAGCGACGUGCCCCUUAUUGGGGACUUUUAUCCUUGCAGGUCGUUUGCAGCUAACAUGUGUGAUCUCGUCACUU